CAAAGGCUUGGUCCUAGCUUUACUAUUAUUUACUACCAAACUUACACAUGCAAGCAUCCGCACCCCUGUGAGAAUGCCCUUAACCCUCUUAUGAGAUCAAGGAGCUGGUAUCAGGCGCAUAUAAUUGCCCACAACACCUUGCUUAGCCACACCCCCAAGGGAAUUCAGCAGUGAUAAACAUUAAGCCAUAAGUGUAAACUUGACUUAGUUAAGGUUUUUAGAGCCGGUAAAACUCGUGCCAGCCACCGCGGUUAUACGAGAGGCUCAAGAUAAUAGAAAUCGGCGUAAAGAGUGGUUAAGUAUUAAAUAACUAAAGUUAAACAUCUUCCAGGCUGUUAUACGCACCCGAAGAUAUGAAGCUCAUUUACGAAAGUGACUUUAUAUAACUGAACCCACGAAAGCUAUGAAACAAACUGGGAUUAGAUACCCCACUAUGCAUAGUCUUAAACAAAAGUAUUUUAAUUACAUCAUACUCGCCAGGGUACUACGAGCUUUAGCUUAAAACCCAAAGGACUUGGCGGUGCUUUACACCCACCUAGAGGAGCCUGUUCUAUAACUGAUAACCCCCGUUAAACCUCACCCUAUUUUGCUUAAUCAAUUUAUAUACCGCCGUCGUCAGCUUACCUUGUGAAAGAACAACAGUGAGCAGAACUAGUAACAACCCAAAACGUCAGGUCGAGGUGUAGUUUAUAAUAGGGGAAGAAAUGGGCUACACUCAUUUACUAAUGAAUACGGAUGGUAUAUUGAAACAUAAACCUAAAGGAGGAUUUAGCAGUAAGAAGAAAAUAGAGUGUUCAUCUGAAAUUGGCUCUAAAGCGCGCACACACCGCCCGUCACUCUCCCCAAUAAUAUAACUUCAAUUAAUUAAAACCUUAAUAAAAUACAAGGGGAGGCAAGUCGUAACAUGGUAAGUGUACCGGAAGGUGUGCUUGGAAUAC
Molecule: non-coding RNA, 938 nt
Filed under: Hippocampus hippocampus (short-snouted seahorse)
Lineage: Eukaryota; Metazoa; Chordata; Actinopteri; Syngnathiformes; Syngnathidae
Description: 12S ribosomal RNA
Rfam family: Bacterial small subunit ribosomal RNA
Source: RNAcentral